Molecule: small RNA, 630 nt
Filed under: Histoplasma capsulatum
Lineage: Eukaryota; Fungi; Ascomycota; Eurotiomycetes; Onygenales; Ajellomycetaceae
Also listed under: 1 other name
Description: hypothetical RNA
Source: RNAcentral
AAACCGUUUUUAUCCCUGCCCGAGGCUGCCUUUGCCUUUAACUACCGUCGCCUGCGAUAGGCGGUAGGACACUCCUGCUACAGGGCUGAAUCCUCACCAAACUGUCUGGCUUUUGACUGAUACGGGCAAACAAGCAGACUCGGAGACAAGAAUGACAGCGUGGCAAUGUGGCGAAACGGGUGAGGUGAUCAUCCACUUCGUAUGAGCCUUACUACUGUAGCAAAAGGCGUUUCUUCCUCUUCAGUUUAUUCCAUAAAGGUUUAUUUCGUCCUUAUUUAUUCAUUCAUUUUCUUUUCUUUCAAGCUGUUGUUGAUUUCUAAUAUUUGUUUUUCGCUAACUAGUUAGUUACCUUUUGUUAAAAAAAAAAAAGAAAAAAUCGAAAAAAAAAAAAAAACACAUGAAUAUCAGGCGCGUUUCUGAAACGUACUUUAAGCAGGAAAUUAGCCAAGCAAGCUGCUCCGCUGGUUUGAUAUUUUAAACUGGGGGGAAUGCUGGUUUAAAGUUGGACCGGCAGCAACGCGCUGCAGGGAGCAGCAAGCAAGCCAUGACGAAAGAAAGCCACCGACCCAGGUAACUCCUGCAUACAAUGGAAGCUCCAUUACGGGUUAAACUUUGCGAAUCUGAUACGGG